UUCGACCUCAAAUCAGGUAGGACUACCCGCUGAACUUAAGCAUAUCAAUAAGCGGAGGAAAAGAAACCAACAGGGAUUGCCUUAGUAGCGGCGAGUGAAGCGGCAAAAGCUCAAAUUUGAAAUCUGGCACUUUCAGUGUCCGAGUUGUAAUUUGAAGAAGGUAUCUUUGGGUCUGGCUCUUGUUAUGUUUCUUGGAAC
Molecule: ribosomal RNA, 198 nt
Filed under: Lodderomyces parapsilosis
Lineage: Eukaryota; Fungi; Ascomycota; Pichiomycetes; Serinales; Debaryomycetaceae
Description: Candida parapsilosis partial 28S ribosomal RNA
Rfam family: Eukaryotic large subunit ribosomal RNA
Source: RNAcentral